GUGGAUUAGUUACCCGAGUAGUCCUGGCCGUAAACGAUGGAUACUAGGUGUUGCGGGUAUCGACCCCUGCAGUGCCGAAGCAAACGCGAUAAGUAUCCCGCCUGGGGAGUACGCACGCAAGUGUGAAACUCAAAGGAAUUGACGGGGACCCGCACAAGCGGUGGAACAUGUGGUUUAAUUCGAAGCAACGCGAAAAACCUUACCAGGGCUUGACAUCUAACAAACACUUGUGAAAGCGAGUGGUGCUCUUCGGAGAAUGUUAAGACAGGUGGUGCACGGCCGUCGCCAUCU
RNAcentral lists this ribosomal RNA (291 nucleotides) under uncultured bacterium. RNAcentral's name for it is "partial 16S ribosomal RNA". It matches the Rfam family "Bacterial small subunit ribosomal RNA", at positions 773 to 1060 of the family's 1533-position model. The record is from RNAcentral.